UAGCCGUAAACGAUACUCGCUAGGUGUCGGCCACGGUGCGACCGUUGUCGGUGCCGUAGGGAAGCCGUGAAGCGAGCCACCUGGGAAGUACGGCCGCAAGGCUGAAACUUAAAGGAAUUGGGCGGGGGAGCACAACAACGGGUGGAGCUUGCGGUUUAAUUGGAUUCAACGCCGGAAAUCUUACCGGGACCGACAGCAACAUGAAGGCCAAGCUGAAGACUUUGCCGGAUUAGCUGAGAGGUGGUGCAUGGCGUAGUCGUGU
This 262-nucleotide ribosomal RNA is filed under the name uncultured archaeon. RNAcentral describes it as "partial 16S ribosomal RNA". It matches the Rfam family "Archaeal small subunit ribosomal RNA", at positions 748 to 1009 of the family's 1478-position model. The record is from RNAcentral.